AAGCCUUAAAAACUAUUCUAGGCAUGUUAUUGUUCCAAAAGAAAUAGCAAAAUUGAUACCAAAAACUCACUUGAUGACUGAAAAUGAAUGGAGAAGUCUUGGAGUUCAGCAGAGUCAGGGAUGGAUCCAUUAUAUGAUUCAUGAUCCUGAACCUCAUAUCUUGCUUUUUCGUCGACCUUUACAAGGCCCAGCUCCCAGCCAGGAAGAACAGGCAAUAAGUGACAUGUGAAAAUUAAUAUAAAUGUGCACAUAUCUGGAGUAUAAGAAAUAUUUGUACAUAUUGUAUAGUUUUGCUGGAGAUUCUGAAAAGUGAACUCUGUGAAGUUCGCAUGAAAAUGUAUUUUCCGUCUUUGGCUUAGAUGGGGACAUUACUAAAAUUUCUUAUAAAGAAGUAUUUUAGUCAUGAGCUAUAAAUAAAAGCAUUACAUCUAAAGCAUGCAGGUAAUAUUUAUGAAAUAAGAGAUGUCUCUAACUUCAUAUUUUGGACAAAGUACACAUUUUAAAGAAUUUAUUCUUUUUAAACUUUCAAUUGAUUUGUAGAUAUUGUUUGCUUGAAUUUUUCAAACUAUUUUAUAAGCAAUGUCAAUUUUUCUUAAGCACAAAGUUAAUGCUUAUGUUAGUACUUUUUUUUAAUACUAAGUACGCAACAUAAAGUACAAGUUUUUAAAAUAUUUCAUGUGUUUAAUAGGGCUCUAAAUUAUAAUAAAAGCAGUCAAUGUCCUCAUCAUUCAUCUGAUUUUCAUUUAACCUAUUGUUAGUUAAGUACUUUGUAUAAAAUAAAUUGUUUUGUUUCUGUUUUUUUUUUUUUUUUUUAUUCAGUGCUUUAUUUUCUUAUACAAAAUUGUAUCAAAUUUGAAUUUAAGAAAAAUCAAUAUUAUUCUUGUGUUGGCUUAGUAUAUUAUUUAUUGUUUCAUCAGUAACUGCAGUUAUUCAGUGUAAUAAGUAAAAAAUUGAUAAAUGGAAUUUGAUGUUAAAUUAAUAAAAUUAUGAAUUACACAAUAAGGUCUUUUUAUUUUUCAAUAAAAGUGUGAUUUAAAUAAAGCCUAAGUGUUUAGGCUGAAAAUAAAAAAUAUAUAUAUAUACUGA
Long non-coding RNA from Stegodyphus dumicola, 1086 nucleotides. The record is from RefSeq and is a predicted model, not a curated record. Lineage: Eukaryota; Metazoa; Arthropoda; Arachnida; Araneae; Eresidae.